Molecule: ribosomal RNA, 463 nt
Filed under: uncultured bacterium
Lineage: Bacteria
Description: partial 16S ribosomal RNA
Rfam family: Bacterial small subunit ribosomal RNA
Source: RNAcentral
GAUGAACGCUGACAGAAUGCUUAACGCAUGCAAGUCUUUGGCGAAGCUGUGCUUACACAGCCUAGCCAAGGCGGACGGGUGAGUAACGCGUAAGGAACUUGCCCUGCAGUCAGGGAUAACAGACGGAAACGACUGAUAAGACCUGGUAAAGUCAGGCGGACUCAUGUCCAGCCUGAUGAAAAGAGAUGCUGCAGGAGAGCCUUGCGUCCUAUUAGCUUGUUGGUGGGGUAACGGCCCACCAAGGCGAUGAUAGGUAGCCGGCCUGAGAGGGUGGACGGCCACAAGGGGACUGAGAUACGGCCCUUACUCCUACGGGAGGCAGCAGUGGGGAAUAUUGGACAAUGGGGGCAACCCUGAUCCAGCAAUUCUGUGUGCACGAUGAAGGUUUUCGGAUUGUAAAGUGCUUUCAGCAGGGAAGAAAAAAAUGACGGUACCUGCAGAAGAAGCGACGGCUAAAUACGUG